GCUUUGUUUCUUCAUUCAAUCAGAGACAUAUAUACACAUGUGUAUAUAUGUCUCUGAUUCAAUGCUGUAUGUGCCUGACUUGUAAAGUUGACAGCUACCAGUGGUGACGAUACGUGCAUAUCACGAAAAGGAUCUGACAUCAAAGCCCUUCUUUUACCUCUUCUCUUUUAUUGUGUAACUGAAUUGAAAUUUAUUCCUUAUGGAAACCAUGUUGGUGCCUGUGAUUCAGCACGCCAUUUUCUUUGAACCAAAACAACCCUUGUCAUGAGUUUUGCUAUCCCCGAAUUGAACAUACUUUUGUUAUAACUAUCAGCACUUAACAUCUAUACUGUACAGUAUAAAAGUAUAGUUAGUGUUACUAGUGGACUAAUUUUACUAAUAGAUCUCCACUAAUAGUGGCUAAUAUUGCAGGAUCGGGUGGUUGUUUUAAAAUUUGCUCACGCAUCAUUGUCAAUAUAAUGGAAUUUGAUGCGACUGUAAUACAACUGAGAGGUUUAGCUAGCUAUAAAACCAGGUUCAAUUCACCAUUUUCUACACAAGAAAAUGCCUGUACCAAGUCAGGAAUAUGACAGUUGUUAUCCAUUCGUUUGAUGUGUUUGAGCUUUUGAUUUUGCCAUUUGAUAUUAGGGCUUUCUGUUUUAAAUUUUUCUCGGAGUUAAUUAGUAUUUUUGUGAUUUUUUUUUUACAUUAGUUUUUCGAGCAUUCUUUCGUUCAUUUGACUGAUUAUACUUUUAACACAUUACUCAAUAUGUACAAUGGCAGGGGAAUGAUAUUAGACCAUAACAUUUCAAAAUUUGCACUAAAACGGCCAUGGAUUUAAAACUGUUUGCUUGUGCAAUUUCUUUCAUUUUCUGUGAGUAAUCAAUUUGAUUAUGCUAAUAUAAUUGGCACAUUCAGAGGUUGUUGAGUCAAUAUUCCAGGAGAUACAUAUGUG
Molecule: long non-coding RNA, 934 nt
Filed under: Mytilus galloprovincialis (Mediterranean mussel)
Lineage: Eukaryota; Metazoa; Mollusca; Bivalvia; Mytilida; Mytilidae
Source: RNAcentral